CGAGGAAUAGGGCCACAGAGACGAGCGUAUUUAGUUACGGUGAAACGCGGUAACCUCCACCCGGAGCAAUUUCAAAUAGGCACGCGUUGAGGCGGCUCGCGGAGCGUGCGGGUAGAAAGCUUGAGCCUGGGAGUAAUCCCCGGCCUAGAGGAAUGAUUGUCAUAGCACAAGGCAGCAAUGCCAAGUGCCGUAACAGAAUCCGGCCUAUCGGCCUGCUUCAUUU
RNAcentral lists this RNase P RNA (223 nucleotides) under Undibacterium sp. RNAcentral describes it as "partial RNase P RNA component class A". It matches the Rfam family "Bacterial RNase P class A", at positions 100 to 367 of the family's 367-position model. From Rfam's summary of the family: Ribonuclease P (RNase P) is a ubiquitous endoribonuclease, found in archaea, bacteria and eukarya as well as chloroplasts and mitochondria. Lineage: Bacteria; Pseudomonadati; Pseudomonadota; Betaproteobacteria; Burkholderiales; Oxalobacteraceae. The record is from RNAcentral.